CCCACCCCAGGAAGAGUUGAAGUUGUGGCUGCUGUGUCACAUGAGUGCCAGUAGGUGACAGAAAGGAGAGAGGCUAUGUCUAGUCUCAAUGUUCUGGCCUAUGAACAUCUGAGCGACGAGUAUUCUAACAUU
This is a small nucleolar RNA of Mastomys coucha (southern multimammate mouse), 132 nucleotides long. RefSeq annotates it as small nucleolar RNA SNORA17. The transcript has a single exon. NCBI's taxonomy places the organism in Eukaryota, Metazoa, Chordata, Mammalia, Rodentia, Muridae. The record is from RefSeq and is a predicted model, not a curated record.